Long non-coding RNA from Planococcus citri (citrus mealybug), 1884 nucleotides. RefSeq lists it as uncharacterized. The record is from RefSeq and is a predicted model, not a curated record. NCBI's taxonomy places the organism in Eukaryota, Metazoa, Arthropoda, Insecta, Hemiptera, Pseudococcidae. The transcript is spliced from 4 exons.
AGGCGCGAAAUAUUGAUGAUGAUAACAGCAGUGUAAAAGUUUACGAAAGUUCGAGCUUUGUGUUAUAAAGUUUGUAUGAAAAUUAUUCCUUAAAAGUUGUUCAAGUGUUUGAACAUUCAAUGAAUCGGUAAUGGCCGGCCGACUAGUCGUUGAGUUACAUUCGAGCAUUCGAACUCGAGCAACAUACGUCGACGUUCCAAGACUUGACUAAAAUCUUCCUGUAAUUUCUGCUACGAAAUGUAAAUAAUUUAUGAUUCAUUUCAUUGUACUUGACAAAUCAGUAUUACGAGCAAGAAUCUUUAUUCUACCAGCGUUGUUCAAUACAAGCAGAGCGAUAUGAAUUCAUCAGUGUUUCGGUAUCUCAUCGACGGUGUUUUGGAUGUAAAAAAAUGCUCAUCGAAGAGUAAACGAUACCUUUCCUUCGACUUUUACGACGAAAACGAGCUUCGAGUAGCGAAAAAAGUGAAGGUUGUGAUGUGCGACGAUGGCGUUACCGGUGCUUCGGUUGCUCAUCAUUUGGCGGAAAUCGGACGGGGUUCAUCGCAGAUUUUUGCGAUUAAUUAGGAAUGGAAACAACCAGAAGAUAACGUAGCUGAAAUCAAACAAGUGCAUAAUAUCUUCUGUGUGAACCAGCUUAUUUCGAUUUGCAAUUGAUCCUGGAUGAUCACGAUGUUGAAUGGAAACGAACUAAUUUUGUUAAGAUGAUGAAUACAUUGGAGAGAUUACAACCACCGGUUACCGUUUCACGUUCAAUUAACAGGUUUGUUUGAUUUUUAUUCAGAAAAGAUUGGUGAUUGUAUUCAACAAUUACGUCUUGUUCAGGACUCAUGAGGUUGAUUGACGUUUCUGCCAAGCUGAACUUACAUUUGCUCAUAUUACCGAUCAAGUAUCAGGGAUCCGGAUAAAGGUGCAUUGUAUUUUGUAUCUCGUGAUAAAAUGGUGAAUAAGCCACUACUCAGACAAGUCUAGGUUGCUCUCAGUCACUUCCCAAGCCGAAGACGGAAAAAGAACGAUUUUUGCCAGAGAUAUUUAGUAUUACCUUAUUGCUUCAUUUGUACGAUGUACAUAUGCAUAUAAGUGUGGCUUUUAUAGGGAUCCUGGACCAUAGCAGUCAUUUUCAGUAAUUACCUUUUCUCCUCUCACAUCGUUCUCUCCUAUAUUUUAUAAGAAUUUGAGAUUACGGUUACGAUGGGAUAUUUUGAGAACAUGAAAUUCGAAUAAGAAACGAAAAAGUACUUCGAAAGCUCAUCUUCGAGCUUUGAUCUCAUUCUGAGUACACAUCGCUCGUAGUCAUCGUGUUGGUUCUGUUUUAUGAUUUCGUCAAAUGUUGCUGUUUGAUCUUUUGAAACUACUUUCUGCUGCUAACGAUGUGUUGUUCGGUGCAAAUAUCGUGAAAAUAAUGAUAUUUAUCUUGGUUUAAUACUCUUUCGAAGAGAUUUCGUUGUGAAUAUAACUUGAAAUGUUCUAUUUUAUCUGAGACACCAACAGAAGUAAAUGAGAAUACUUGGGAUGGCAUUUUAGAAAUUUUUCUCCAAAAACACUAUCGAUGACAAAAAAAGAUGAGCAAUAAAAUUGAACGAAACGGAAAAGAAACCAUUCAAAAGGAGAAACUUGUAGUCUUUUUUUCAAAAUUGAAUUUAAAAAAUAUCUACUACUCCUGAUUUAUUCAUAAAUAUUCCUGAAAAAAAUUAAAGUAAAGUACAAAAGUAACUUUUUAACUAAUAUUUUCUUAAGAUGUAAUUACUAUUAAUAUCUAUCAAAUAAUUUAUUUAUUCUUUUUUUUCUUUUUUAUGCUUUAUUUACUUGAUAAUGGUGAUAUUAAACUUUUUUUUUCUAUUAAGUAAUUUUUUUUUAUGUUGCCAGUAAUAAAUUCAAUUUCCUUUU